Molecule: long non-coding RNA, 3181 nt
Filed under: Triticum aestivum (bread wheat)
Lineage: Eukaryota; Viridiplantae; Streptophyta; Magnoliopsida; Poales; Poaceae
Description: long non-coding RNA (TAES_LNC021880)
Source: RNAcentral
AGCUGCAGGCCUUGGGCAAGAUUCCUCCGACCCAAGCAGGCCUUGGGCAAGAUUCCAUCGACGGGGGAGCAGCGGGGAGAGGAACGUGAGGCCAUGGGGGAGGAAGAAGAUGGCCCCCCUCGUUCCCAAGGUUGGUCUUCGCGUGACGCUGGUUAAGGUAGUUACUUUCCUCGGAUCCAAUUUCUUUUGGUUGCCGUCAGUGUUCUUGACUAAUUUUGGAUCUCGUUUGCCUACAGAUUUUCUAUUCUUGCUCCCUAUGCGUCAGAUAUGUUGUUGUGUUCCUUGAUCUGUAAUUGCUUGUUGUUUUCAACUGUCUCAGUUUUGGUUACCUGAAGCUCAUCCCUGAUUUGCUCCUUUUCCCCUUGCAGGCUGGUCUGCUGCUGUCUGCAGGUGCUUGUGUUUCUGGGCGGUUCGUCCUGCUACCUCUUCGAUCAUCGCUCUACAGGUCAACCCAUUUUCUCCUUCACCUCUCAGCUCUAUAGCCAUGCGCUUGCGUUCUUGCGAGCGUGUGUCUUCCUUGUGUUCUUAUUGGUGGAAGUCUGGCAUCUAAGAGUGUCAUUCUCUGCUUGUAUUUUUGUGCUUUUGUCACUUAUAUGAAUCUUGGUGGAACCUACAUUUCUACCAUGUCCAGCUGAUUUGUUUGUUGGAACUGCUUGCAUGUGCCAUGUUGUUGGAGCUACCGAACAAGCCAUUGUCGUUGCAGAUAUGAUUUAUAAAGACUAUCCGUUGGACAAUAGUUGUAGUAGUUAGGUGACGACAAGAUGCAGCCAUUUGUAUAGGUUGUUUGUUUUGUUUUCUUGUUUGUGCAUGUCUUGUUCUUCAGGCUAUGAAAGUGGUCAAUGGCGUGGCAAAUAGAGUCCAUAAAAAUUGUUCGUUACCAUGCAGCUGUGGUAGAUGUGUUGUCAGGAGGGUGCAAUCUGUAUAAAACAUGGCCUCUGUCUAUGUCUUUGUCUGGUUCAUUAGUCCUGCUCUUCUUCGACCAUCCUUCGUUAGUUUAUUUGUUUCAUUUAUUAUGUGUAGAUCUAGGAGAGAUGCCUAUGAUCAUUCCUUUCCUACCAUGUGCUUGUGCUAAAUCGCAGUCAUGUAUUUUUUAGCUUUGUUUUCAUUCUUGAAUCUGUGAGCAUGGUUGUGAUAAGGUUUGUAGAUGCAGGGUUGUGUUGGCUCUCAAUGUCAUAUUUUCCCCCUAUCAACGAGGUCAUGGCUUGCAUUUCAGAUGAAUAGGUUGCUAUAUUACUAGAGUACUACUUGAUCUCUAUUAUGGUUUUACUGGAUACAAAGCAUAGUAACUAUUACAUCAUCUUAUAUAUCUUGUGUAUUGUGAUAUCUGUAUAGACACUGUCUACGUCCUCUUGACAUUCCCAGUUUUGUUUUCUAUAGCAUAUAUUUGACUCCUUUCCAUGCCUCUUGGUUCUGAAAGCGCUCUCAGAGCUCAGCGAUCAUGGGCCGUCGGAUCCGUUUGCUUGAUGCGUUUUCGGGCGUUGGAUCAAGCCGCUGGAAGAGCUGGGUCGUCGGAUAAAAAAAGGAGCUGUAGCAAUGAAUAGUUACCCCUGCUGUAAAGAUCUCGUGCCACCGCAUGUAAAUCGCGUGCCCUGCCGAGGGCAUUUUCGUAAUUUCGCGUGGUUGCAAAAGUCCCCAAUAGCGAUCGGGUGAGAUCGUGGAUAGCGAGCACCGGGUCGUCCCCCUCCCCCUCCCGCCUGCUCUCCUCUCUUCCCCUCCCCCUCCCAUGAAACCCUAGGCAUCGCGCCCGCACACCCCCUGCCGCCGCGCCGCUGCCGCCGUCGCUGGCGCUCGCCCCGGCCCCCAUCCUCCACCUGACGCCGCCCAUCGUCUCCUCCCCACCCCCUCACACCUUCCUUCCGCUCCUCCCCAUCGGGGCUGAGCAGGAGAACGAGCACCCUCCCUCGCAACUGAGUAGACGGGAGAAUAGCUCGAGCCUCGGUGUUUGGGCGUGUUGGUGAGUGCGGCGGCGGCGGAGAGCAGCAGCAACAGGCGGCACAGCUGCAUGCCUUGGGCAAGAUUCCUCCGACCCAAGCAGGCCUUGGGCAAGAUUCCAUCAACGGGGGAGCAGCGGGGAGAGGAACGUGAGGCCAUGGGGGAGGAAGAAGAUGGCCCCCUCGUUCCCAAGGUUGGUCUUCGCGUGACGCUGGUUAAGGUAGUUACUUUCCUCGGAUCCAAUUUCUUUUGGUUGCCGUCAGUGUUCUUGACUAAUUAUGGAUGUCGUUUGCCUACAGAUUUUCUAUUCUUGCUCCCUAUGCAUCAGAUAUGUUGUUGUGUUCCUUGAUCUGUAAUUGCUUGUUGUUUUCAACUGUCUCAGUUUUGGUUACCUGAAGCUCAUCCCUGAUUUGCUCCUUUUCCCCUUGCAGGUUGGUCUGCUGCUGUCUGCAGGUGCUUGUGUUUCUAGGCGGUUCGUCCUGCUGCCUCUUCGGUCAUCGCUCUACAGGUCACACUACAAGAAAUAUGCUAUCUUGUGACCUCCACUUUUGGUCACUGAAAGGUCACUGUUUUCAAUUUGUGACCUUUUUGUGACCAAAAAACGGAAGGUCAAAAGAUUUUACGACCAAUUAUUUUGGUCACUAGCAAUCCGACCACACCACGUCAGAUCCACCGUGGCAAGCUGACGUGGCAUAAUUACGACCAAAUGAAAAGGUAAUCAGCCCGGUCCAUUUCAGCCGUCUACAUGGGCCAAGCCCAAUAAUUCGGCCCGUUUAAUUUUUUCUCUCUCUUUAUUUUGCUUAUGUGUAUGGGCCUGGCCCAAUAAUUUGGCCUUUUAUUUUCUGGGAAUGGAGCCUUUUUCUGAUGAAAUUCUUUUUAUAGUCCACUAUUUUUUUGGGCCACAGCCUUUUUGGUCUAGUUCGAAUUUGGGCAUUGGCCUUUUUAUUUUCUGCUAUGCGGUCUUUUAUAAUUUUUUUCUUACAUUCAUUUCCUUUUUUAGGCCCAAGCCUUUUUGGUCUAAUUCUUGUUUGGGCCUUGGCCUUUUUAGAGCCCAAGUUCUCAUUUUGCAUAACUUCACAUAAAAUAAACAAUAAACAGAAAGGCCCAGGUGCACAAGUGAUCCACAAGCCCAGCUGCACAAGUGAUCCACAUAACUUCAUAGAAAAUAAACAAUAACUCCACAACUUCACAAGUGAUCCAUAACUUCACAGGUUCACAAGAUCACAUAACUUCACAGGUUCAAACUAGG